Molecule: ribosomal RNA, 177 nt
Filed under: Schroedera airthreyi
Lineage: Eukaryota; Fungi; Microsporidia; Mrazekiidae
Description: partial 23S ribosomal RNA
Rfam family: Bacterial large subunit ribosomal RNA
Source: RNAcentral
UGACGAUGAAGAACGUAAAUGUCUGCGAUACGCACCGAGAUUUUUAGAAAUGAACGGUGAUUUUCGAAUAUGAUUACCCCUUGGACUUAAGCAUAUCAUUAGAGGGAGGAAAAGAAACUAACAAGGAUUUUCUUAGUAGUGGCGAAUGAACAGAAAUAAGCCCUUAUGGUAAACUUA